Molecule: long non-coding RNA, 339 nt
Organism: Mauremys reevesii (Reeves's turtle)
Lineage: Eukaryota; Metazoa; Chordata; Testudines; Geoemydidae
Exons: 2
Source: RefSeq, a predicted model, not a curated record
GUCCCAUCACCAGGGAUCAUUUAAAACCAAACUCGGAUGUGCACUAGGUUAAAUGAAAUGAUUUAUGUACACAGUCAUGUGCAGAAGGCAGUGUGGAGCCUUGCAUGAGCACCAAAAGAGAUUUCAUCUCAGGAGGCGCAAUCUCUACUGGGGCUGCUCUGUGCCUGCAGGGUGCUAUGGUUUUACAUUAGAAGUGCAAGAAAAAUUGAGAGCUAUGGCAGAGCCCACUUAGAAAGAAAAAGCUUCGAUGUGAUAGGAGGAAAAAAAUUCUUUCUUAGCUUGAAAUAUGCUCCCGCAUAAGAACACCAUACAAUGAAUAUCUGAAGAAUAUCAGAAGAA